Long non-coding RNA from Bombus impatiens (common eastern bumble bee), 2313 nucleotides. RefSeq lists it as uncharacterized. The record is from RefSeq and is a predicted model, not a curated record. Lineage: Eukaryota; Metazoa; Arthropoda; Insecta; Hymenoptera; Apidae. The transcript is spliced from 4 exons.
UCGCCCGACAAGCGGGGUCCCCCUCCUACUGCUUCACUCGACCGCCGGACUCUCGCCCCUUCCCUCUCUACGACUUCCACGCGUUUCUCCUCUUGUCCCUACGACCCUUCCUGCCCCACUACUUUGUCGUGUGGCGCGCCCCUUGCGUCGCCUCGCGAACUUCAACCGAGCUACCUAUCCCCACCAAACGUCUGGCCAAGCAGUGAAAGAGAGUCAACGCGAGGAAGAGAAGCACGCACACGCUACGUAUAAGAGAGAGAUGGAUGGAACGAGAAUGCAGCGCAUGCGCAGUGCAUCAGUCGCGGCACGCGGUCGCGCCCAAACGCAUCUUCUCGCGAUUCUCAUAUUGAUGUACUACGCGCUUGCACUCACGGCGAACCGAUUGGGUGCCUCGCGAAUACCGAACAACUCAUACGUGAAGGAUGAACGAAACAGCAUCUCGUUAAGAAAUCGCUGCCAGAUAUACAACCGCUACGCACCUUCGGUUGAGUUACUUUGAAAGCGUUCAAGAAUUCGAUCAGCGACAGAUCACCGACACGCGUGACAAGGAGUUGAAUAUCCUGUUCUGUUACCGUCUACGCGCGACGGAGAAACGUCGGCGCGCAGCCGAGAGACUCGGCGAACUCGAGCCAUCCUCGCCUCCUUUCUUCACCCUUCUACGCCACUAGCUGGAUGUGAGUUACCGCGCUACGGAAUGGACUCGUCGAAUUAUUUUCGUUGAAUGCCACCGCGGUAUCGGUUUCGCGAUCGCGAAACUGCCAGAGGGAUGAUAUUAAAAUUGAAAUGGGCUCGAACGAUGCCUCGAUUCUUUGGAAAGGGGCUUUAAAUAAAGGACUUUGCUGCCAACUUUCUUCCGCGUGGAUACGCCGCGCGCGGCUUUCUUUGCCUUUCAACGCACGACACUGACCAUCCCUGUGUCUCUUGAAAAAUUCAACGAAUCCAGUAGAACGAUCCUGGCUCACGGUUAAUUGGCCUCCGACACUCCAUUUCGCAAAUUGCAAAAAGCAAUGCCAGGAUACUGUUGUACGUAGGUGCUGGCGUCGAGUGGCUGCAGCUUGUUACUGGAAAAUCGCUGGGACGGACGAAAGGAAUUCGAACGAUGGACGCGCUUACGCGUGUGACCAAGUGCAUCGUGCAGGGAAUCAGAAAUUAAGUCUGCUGGCAUGGCUGAUGUUGAACAAUUGUUAGUUUCGUUGGAAACACGGAAUUCUCUGUUUUCAUCUCUUCCGAACAACUUCCUGACAAAGUGGCUCGUUCUCAAGUGGAACGCAGUCGACGGCAACGAGUCCGAAAACACGAGGCAAACGUUGUGUCUGGCGAGCGGAAGGCACGCGUCUCCUUUGGCUUCGUAAUCUAAGCGGAGAGCGAACAGUGCCUAAUUCUCGUCCAAUUUCCAGCGUAGGGAAACCGGUUAACAGCACGACGCAACUCGUAGUAUUCGCUGAAACGAGUUUCGAUAAAGUUAACGCCGACCAGUACCGGCGACACUCUGCUCAGACGUUUAGAUAAGUUAACUGUCGCUACGAAUACACGAAUAUCCAUGUAUUAACAUGGAUGUAACAGUGUAUUCGUUUUUCAGCUUCCUUGCACGAUUGAGCUAAUAUCAUUAGAGGAAUUUCAUUAGUUCGAAGUAUUAGCGAAUUCUGACGUACGAUGCUAAUAAUAAAUUCUUUUAUUUUUACUAUGCAAAAUAUAGCGUUUUGUAUAUAUUAUGUUAUCCAACUUAAUUUAAUAGAAAUAUAUUAACAUACAGAUGCGUUAUUAGUUAAAAAUGUGAAAAUACUAAAUUAUAAAUAGCUUUUGAAAAUAUCAUAUUGAGUAUAAAUUAGUUGGAAUAAAAUGUCCAAUGGAAUUUAUUACGCAAAGGGUAUUGAUAUCAUUUUCUUAAUUAUCGACUAAUCAGCAACUUUGUUAUUUAUAUUAUUAAAUUAAAGUCAAGUAAAAAUAUUAAGGUUACAUCUAUCGAUCAAUCAUUCUGUUAAGAUCGUUCGUAAAAUGCACCAAUAAUGUGAAUUAUUUACCUUGUAACUCGUAAAAUUAUACAAUUAUUUGCACACCAGAAUUCUAUCAGCUACAACGACCAUAUGUACAGUAACUUGUAGAUUCACUGAUAUUAAUAACCACUAAUAUUAUUAUUGAAACAUGUAUAAUUUUAUGUGCUAGACUAGGUUAGAUGCGUAGUAGUGAUACUUGUAUGUGAAUAUCAGUGUGUGGAAGUAUGUGUGUGCGCGGCGUUUCGAAAACAAAUGAAUGUAAAGUGUUCAGUUGGUUAACAGUCCGAUAUGGACGAAAGUGUUGAGACGCGUGCAAGUG